RNAcentral lists this ribosomal RNA (253 nucleotides) under uncultured bacterium. Its description in RNAcentral is "partial 16S ribosomal RNA". It matches the Rfam family "Bacterial small subunit ribosomal RNA", at positions 524 to 776 of the family's 1533-position model. The record is from RNAcentral.
UACGAAGGGGGCUAGCGUUGCUCGGAAUCAUUGGGCGUAAAGCGUGCGCAGGCGGUUCGUUGUGUCGGUGGUGAAAUCCCCGGGCUUAACCUGGGAAUGGCCAUGGAAACUGGCGAACUGGAGUGCGGCAGAGGGGGGUGGAAUUCCGCGUGUAGCAGUGAAAUGCGUAGAGAUGCGGAGGAACACCGAUGGCGAAGGCAGCCCCCUGGGCUAGCACUGACGCUCAGGCACGAAAGCGUGGGGAGCAAACAGG